GAAGUUAUAAAAAAGUGGGAACCCUAUUUAUUAGGAGACAACCUACAUCCCAAGUAAGUUGAUAUACUUACAAAUAUUCAUAUAUGUAAUAUUUAAUGUACAAUCAUUUACUUCAAUACUUAAUCUCAUAAUUGAAAUAAUUUGUAAAAUUUUAGUGAACCAAAAAAGUUGAAAGUGAAAUUUAUAAUGUCAAGAUCAAGGCCAGAGAAAAAUCAAUCAAUAAGGUAUAAAUACUUAAUAAAAAUUCAAUAAUUAAUUUUUAUACAGUUACAUAAUCAUACUUUUAUGUAUUAACAUUCGAAAAAUUUCAGUGAACAAGAGAAGGAAACUUCAAAAAUAGAUGAUGCAUCAACAAAUCAAGGAAAAAAAAAACAACUGAAGAGGAAGCAAAAACUGAUCACCUACAACAAGAAAAGGCUGGAUCAGAAUUAGUGAAUACAGGAAAUCAAUCACCUAAGAAAGACA
Long non-coding RNA from Chenopodium quinoa (quinoa), 465 nucleotides. RefSeq lists it as uncharacterized. Lineage: Eukaryota; Viridiplantae; Streptophyta; Magnoliopsida; Caryophyllales; Amaranthaceae. The record is from RefSeq and is a predicted model, not a curated record. The transcript has 3 exons.